GCAAGUCGAACGGUGAAGCAGAGCUUGCUCUGUGGAUCAGUGGCGAACGGGUGAGUAACACGUGAGCAACCUGCCCCGGACUCUGGGAUAAGCGCUGGAAACGGCGUCUAAUACCGGAUACGAGAUUCCACCGCAUGGUGAGUUUCUGGAAAGAUUUUUUGGUCUGGGAUGGGCUCACGGCCUAUCAGCUUGUUGGUGAGGUAAUGGCUCACCAAGGCGUCGACGGGUAGCCGGCCUGAGAGGGUGACCGGCCACACUGGGACUGAGACACGGCCCAGACUCCUACGGGAGGCAGCAGUGGGGAAUAUUGCACAAUGGGCGGAAGCCUGAUGCAGCAACGCCGCGUGAGGGAUGACGGCCUUCGGGUUGUAAACCUCUUUUAGCAGGGAAGAAGCGAAAGUGACGGUACCUGCAGAAAAAGCGCCGGCUAACUACGUGCCAGCAGCCGCGGUAAUACGUAGGGCGCAAGCGUUAUCCGGAAUUAUUGGGCGUAAAGAGCUCGUAGGCGGUUUGUCGCGUCUGCUGUGAAAUCCCGAGGCUCAACCUCGGGUCUGCAGUGGGUACGGGCAGACUAGAGUGCGGUAGGGGAGAUUGGAAUUCCUGGUGUAGCGGUGGAAUGCGCAGAUAUCAGGAGGAACACCGAUGGCGAAGGCAGAUCUCUGGGCCGUUACUGACGCUGAGGA
Molecule: ribosomal RNA, 683 nt
Filed under: uncultured Actinomycetes bacterium
Lineage: Bacteria; Bacillati; Actinomycetota; Actinomycetes
Description: bacterial SSU rRNA
Rfam family: Bacterial small subunit ribosomal RNA
Source: RNAcentral